Molecule: long non-coding RNA, 362 nt
Organism: Fundulus heteroclitus (mummichog)
Lineage: Eukaryota; Metazoa; Chordata; Actinopteri; Cyprinodontiformes; Fundulidae
Exons: 2
Source: RefSeq, a predicted model, not a curated record
GACAGUUUCUUUUUAAUAAUUAUAAACCAUGUUGUAAGGAGGCGACAUUCUCAGGAGAAGUACAGCCAGCAAUGGAGGAUUACGUGUGAGCGCAGCAUGCAACGCCGCAGCCGCUCCUCCGUCUUCCUCUUACCGGUCUGAUCGUCCAGGCUGCCGGUGUUCAGGGUGGUGAUCAGCUCCUCCAGGCUCUCCUUCGUCCCGUUCAUCUUCCAGUUUCCUCCGACGAAAAACCUCCGCGCCAUGGCCGGUUGCUGGUGGCUGAUUCCCGGUACGAGAGGAGAUGAAGGCCCCGGUGUUCAGUCCCGACUGGUGUGCAGUUCACGGGCUGUGGGAAAUAUCAGGACUAAAUACACUGGCGAAAA